This 489-nucleotide ribosomal RNA is filed under the name uncultured bacterium. RNAcentral describes it as "partial 16S ribosomal RNA". It matches the Rfam family "Bacterial small subunit ribosomal RNA", at positions 28 to 507 of the family's 1533-position model. The record is from RNAcentral.
GACGAACGCUGGCGGCGUGCUUAACACAUGCAAGUCGAACGGUGAAGGGAUCAGCUUGCUGGUUCUGGAUGAGUGGCGAACGGGUGAGUAACACGUGAGUAACCUGCCCCCUUCUUCUGGAUAACCGCAUGAAAGUGUGGCUAAUACGGGAUAUUCUGCGCCUGCUGCAUGGUGGGUGUGGGAAGGAUAUUGUUUCGGUGGGGGAUGGGCUCGCGGCCUAUCAGCUUGUUGGUGGGGUGAUGGCCUACCAAGGCGGUGACGGGGAGCCGGCCUGAGAGGGUGGACGGUCACACUGGGACUGAGACACGGCCCAGACUCCUACGGGAGGCAGCAGUGGGGAAUAUUGCACAAUGGGCGCAAGCCUGAUGCAGCGACGCCGCGUGAGGGAUGGAGGCCUUCGGGUUGUGAACCUCUUUCGCCAGUGAAGCAGGCCUGUCCCUUGUGGGUGGGUUGACGGUAGCUGGAUAAGAAGCGCCGGCUAACUACGUG